GCAUUCGUAGCUCAGCGGAUAGAGCACCGGCAUUCCUAGCCGGAGGGCGCAGGUUCGAUCCCUGCCGAAUGCA
This 73-nucleotide transfer RNA is filed under the name Planctomycetota bacterium. RNAcentral's name for it is "tRNA-Gly". It matches the Rfam family "tRNA". From Rfam's summary of the family: Transfer RNA (tRNA) molecules are approximately 80 nucleotides in length. Their secondary structure includes four short double-helical elements and three loops (D, anti-codon, and T loops). The record is from RNAcentral. Lineage: Bacteria; Pseudomonadati; Planctomycetota.